AUCGUAAACCUCUGUUGUGAAGGAAGAAUAACUUAGAUAGUAAAUGAUCUAUGUUUGACGGUACUUUACCAGAAAGUCACGGCUAACUAUGUGCCAGCAGCCGCGGUAAUACAUAGGUGGCAAGCGUUAUCCGGAUUUAUUGGGCGUAAAGAGUGCACAGGUGGUUUAUCAAGUCAGUUGUUAAAUACCAAGGCUCAACCUUGGCUCGCAAUUGAAACUGAUAGACUAGAAUAUCGGUGGGGGUAGUAGAAUUCCAUGUGUAGUGGUGGAAUACAUAAAUAUAUGGAGGAAUACCAGUGGCGAAGGCGGCUACCUGAACGAUUAUUGACACUUAAGCACGAAAGCGUGGGGAGCAAAUAGGAUUAGAUACCCUAGUAGUCCACGCCGUAAACGAUCUAGACUAGACGUUGGGAUAACCCAGUGUCACAGCUAACGCAUUAAGUCUAGCGCCUGGGUAGUAUGCACGCAAGUGUGAAACUCAAAGGAAUUGACGGGGACCAGCACAAGUGGUGGAGCAUGUGGUUUAAUUCGAAGAUACGCGAAGAACCUUACCUACACUUGAAAUGCUUGGCAAAGCUAUAGAGAUAUAGCGGAGGUCAACCAGUGCACAGGUGGUGCAUGGUUGUCGUCAGCUCGUGUCGUGAGAUGUUCGGUUAAGUCCGGCAACGAGCGCAACCCCUAUCUUAUGUUACUAACAUUUAGUUGAGGACUCAUGAGAGACUGCCUAGGUAACUAGGAG
RNAcentral lists this ribosomal RNA (739 nucleotides) under uncultured Mycoplasmataceae bacterium. RNAcentral's name for it is "bacterial SSU rRNA". It matches the Rfam family "Bacterial small subunit ribosomal RNA", at positions 422 to 1168 of the family's 1533-position model. Lineage: Bacteria; Bacillati; Mycoplasmatota; Mollicutes; Mycoplasmatales; Mycoplasmataceae. The record is from RNAcentral.